This 238-nucleotide long non-coding RNA is filed under the name Carica papaya (papaya). RNAcentral describes it as "long non-coding RNA (CPAP_LNC014856)". Lineage: Eukaryota; Viridiplantae; Streptophyta; Magnoliopsida; Brassicales; Caricaceae. The record is from RNAcentral.
UUUUAGCUUUUAUUUAUUAAGUGCAUCAUAUGUGAUAUGAGUGAUUAGAAUGCCUUAUGUGAUUUGUGGAAUCACACUUCUAGUAUAUUAUGUGAUGUGGUUUAAAUGAUUGCAUUUCUCAACACAUCACAUGUCUUGAUGUGACAAGAUAAUUUUUAUCAUAUAGCUUGAUGUAAUUCAAAGAAUCACAUAUCUUAAUACAUCACAAAACAUUUCAGCACAUAACCCAGUGUGAUUA